Molecule: ribosomal RNA, 600 nt
Filed under: uncultured bacterium
Lineage: Bacteria
Description: bacterial SSU rRNA
Rfam family: Bacterial small subunit ribosomal RNA
Source: RNAcentral
ACGGUCGCAAGACUAAAACUCAAAUGAAUUGACGGGGGCCCGCACAAGCGGUGGAGCAUGUGGUUUAAUUCGAUGCAACGCGAAGACCCUUACCUGGCCUUGACAUAGUAGAGACUUUCCAGAGAUGGAUUGGUGCCUUCGGGAAUCUACAUACAGGUGCUGCAUGGCUGUCGUCAGCUCGUGUCGUGAGAUGUUGGGUUAAGUCCCGCAACGAGCGCAACCCUUUUCCUUACUUGCCAGCAUUUCGGAUGGGAACUUUAAGGAUACUGCCAGUGACAAACUGGAGGAAGGCGGGGACGACGUCAAGUCAUCAUGGCCCUUACGGCCAGGGCUACACACGUGCUACAAUGGUCGGUACAAAGGGUUGCUACACAGCGAUGUGAUGCUAAUCUCAAAAAGCCGAUCGUAGUCCGGAUCGCAGUCUGCAACUCGACUGCGUGAAGUCGGAAUCGCUAGUAAUCGCGGAUCAGAAUGCCGCGGUGAAUACGUUCCCGGGCCUUGUACACACCGCCCGUCACACCAUGGGAGUUUGUUGCACCAGAAGUAGGUAGUCUAACCGCAAGGAGGACGCUUACCACGGUGUGGCCGAUGACUGGGGUG